Molecule: unclassified non-coding RNA, 238 nt
Filed under: Hevea brasiliensis (rubber tree)
Lineage: Eukaryota; Viridiplantae; Streptophyta; Magnoliopsida; Malpighiales; Euphorbiaceae
Source: RNAcentral
GUUGCCUUCUCGGUGACCGACGGUAAGCUCCAAAUGUAUUAAUAGCUCUCUUCAUCUUCUUACUAAUUAUCUUCUUUGACUCCACUGCUUUAACAUGUCCCCAUAUAUCUCACAAAAUUUUUGUUUUUGUUAGCUGCUUCUCCUACAUUAUAUAUUAUCAUUCUCCAUAAAUUUCAGCAAUAGACUUCAGAAUUUUUAUUAAAAGAUUUUUUAAUUUAGGUGGGUAAGAAAGAAGGGC